AACUCUGGAACUGCCAUCAAAACUUUCAGCUAGAGUAUGAUAGAGGAAAGCAGAAUUUCUAGUGUAGAGGUGAAAUUCGUAGAUAUUAGAAAGAAUACCAACUGCGAAGGCAGCUUUCUGGAUCAUUACUGACACUGAGGAACGAAAGCAUGGGUAGCGAAGAGGAUUAGAUACCCUCGUAGUCCAUGCCGUAAACGAUGUGUGUUAGACGUUGGAAAUUUAUUUUCAGUGUCGCAGCGAAAGCAAUAAACACACCGCCUGGGGAGUACGACCGCAAGGUUAAAACUCAAAUGAAUUGACGGGGACCCGCACAAGUAGUGGAGCAUGUGGUUUAAUUCGAAGAUACGCGCAGAACCUUACCAACACUUGACAUGUUCGUCGCGACUCUAAGAGAUUAGAGUUUUCGGUUCGGCCGGACGAAACACAGGUGCUGCAUGGCUGUCGUCAGCUCGUGUCGUGGGAUGUUGGGUUAAGUCCCGCAACGAGCGCAACCCUCACUUUUAGUUGCCAUCAUUAAGUUGGGCACUCUGAAAGAACUGCCAGUGAUAAGCUGGAGGAAGGUGGGGAUGACGUCAAGUCCUCAUGGCCCUUACGUGUUGGGCUACACACGUGCUACAAUGGUAUCUACAACAGGAAGCGAAACGGCAACGUUAAGCAAAUCCCGAAAAGAUACCUCAGUUCGGAUUGCACUCUGCAACUCGAGUGCAUGAAGCUGGAAUUACUAGUAAUCGUGGAUCAGCGUGCCACGGUGAAUGCGUUCCCGGGUCUUGUACACACCGCCCGUCACACCAUGGGAGUUGGUUCUACCUUAAGGCAAGGUUUUAAACCCUUGACCACGGUAUAGUCAGCGACUGGGGUGAAGUCGUAACAAGGUAGCC
Molecule: ribosomal RNA, 878 nt
Filed under: uncultured bacterium
Lineage: Bacteria
Description: bacterial SSU rRNA
Rfam family: Bacterial small subunit ribosomal RNA
Source: RNAcentral